AAGAAAAGUAGCCUGUGGCAAAGAAAACACAUUGUCACCAGCUAAGAGAGCUGCUGCUGGACGGAAGGCUCUAAUGGCUUUGCUAGAGAUGUCAACAGCUUUUGGAGAGAUGGAGAGUAUCAGCAUGAAACAAGAGCCUUAGAUCAAAAUAGCAACGUUCUGGCAUUUAAGGUCCUCUGCAAUGUGAAUCCAUUAAUGUUGAGGCACAACUGACCAUACACAAUUAGAAGGAAAUAAACAAGAUAGCCUCUCAGUUCCUCUAUCACCAAGAGAAAUAGCAACAACUCAACUGCUGAUUAGGAGCAAGGACGGCAGCUCAGAAGUCUGUUGACUGCUCUUCAGCUCCUGGACACAUAAAACCAUCGGGAUUCGUCUGAGAACUUCAGAAUUGCUGGAGAUGGCCCCCACAUCUAGAUGGUCUUUUUCCUGAAGACCUUUUAGAAAACCCAACAGGUAGGGGACAGAGCUCUCCAUCCUGCAUGGAUUUCUUGGCUGCUUUCUAUUUCCAACAGCAAUCAAUUGGGUGCCAUGAGAAAAGCAAAGACAAAUAGACUACAGUCCUUGUCCUCACAGUGCUUAUAAUCCGGCUGAUAAAACACAUUCACCUUAAAAAUGAAGUGCAUGUGCUGCAGUGUAUGAUUAAGUACCGGAUGAGUAGGUGAUCAAUCAAUGGUGUGUCAGGUUGUUAAUCUGCACACUGGUCUGCCAGCUACAGCUCAGUGCACAAUGACAUGAGUCAGGAUGCCAGGAGACUGUGGCUAAAAAUGACUCGAGGCAUUUAGAUGUGUAUAAUCAACCCAGAAAAGCAGGUAAAACAGGGCGGGGAGGCAAGGUAAGAGGAGGGGGACUCCUACUCCUCACCACCUUCCACUCACAGGACGCUUGUGCCUUGACUUCCCCUCCGGGCAGCCCUUUGUGAGAAGGAUCCUCCGUCUCUUUCCAUCCCCCACCUCAUUACAGGGCAGAGGUGUAUUUAAGUUCUUUUUCAUUUUUUUCAGCACAUUUCAGUUCUGCUUUUUGGCUUGUUCUAUCACAAGCUCAUUAAACAUGAUUUAAAAUAUUUUACCUUACCUCUUUGUUCAUCUAGUUCUUUAAAGUUUCCCUUCCCCACUUGGGUUUUAUUAUCACCUCUGCAUUCUAAUCAUGUUCCCAGCUGCAAAUAUCAUCACACAACCUUGUUUUAGCAAUUGGUCUCUUUUUCUUUUAUCUUCUAAUUGGAAUUUACCUUCAAAACCUUCCAAGACUCCUUCCUGCAGACGCCCCAUUUUAUUACCAGCCUUUCCUGUGAUUCACACCCUCUCAAGUUAAAGCUUUCUCCCUUCAGGAAGCCAAAUACUAGCUUUUUCUUUAAGUUUCUCUCUAUUCAGUUACUUAAUUCUUAGAAAGACCUGUAUUAAAACCUGAAUUCACCAUAAAAUGCACAGUUGAAGUUGUGACGAAAACCAGCUAAUUUCUAUGGGAUGAAAUGACAGUGUUCACCUUGACUCAAUCAUGGGAUAGACAUCUAUGAAGGAGAGUUGAAAGCAAAAAGAACAGAGUUUCUGUUUUAAAAAAGAAACUACACUUGAUUAUAAUGGUGUCUUAUGUGGGGUUUUUUUCCAAAUAAGAAACUAAAAAUAGAAAUUUUGUCUCUUCAAUGAUUUGCUAGUGAGCAGUGUCCAGAUGGCAAGGAACAAUUGACUAUUUAACUCUGUACAAAAAGACAGCCAAGUGUGAGCAUGUCAGCCCAUGACUCAAGGAAAGGCCGUAGAUGACUGUCCCCAGCUAGAGGCCAUGUGGGAAACAAGGAGGAACUUGUCCUUAUCAGGACCCACCAAGCGCCUUCCAAGAGUGGUGAUUGACAGGACAGGCUGCAGGGGCAACAAAAAGGGAGCUGAUCCUUCUCAGUUAUUCUUUUCGAAUUUUCCCACCACUGAGAAAAUGGGCCAAGGAUCCAUGCUGAGGAGGCAAUUGCUGCAUUUAGAAGCAGCAUCCUAGAAUUAACAUUCAGAAAGGCCAGGGGUGAGGGGACAAGCCUCAGAAGUGAAUUCUGAGAAAUUCCUGAACAUGGGGAAAGUGGAUGGGUCUAAGUACUAACUGAAUCUUCAGUCACACUUACCUAGAACUGAGAUACACUCUCAUCAAUGGGGAUUCAAUGUCUAUAAUCAGGACACCUGAAAAUUUGACACAAAAUAAUCAGUAGGUUGAUAUUCUUUAACCUUUACAAACAAUUUCCCUUUAAUAAUUGUGUGAAUUCAGAAGGAAAUAGAGCACUGGAAGGUGUAUAAGUCAUAGAAAGAAAUUCACAUGUAUUCACAGUGGAGGAGCGAAAAGCCCCGGAUUGGUGAGAAAUAGCUCAUCCAUCUUGGAAAGUCUCCUGAACGAAAUAGUAGGGCUUCCAUAUCUAGAGCAUCACUUAUGUCUUUUAUAACCACACUCACGCAAUUCCAUGUCUAUGUCAUGGAAUUAACAUGCAGGGUCAGUCUUCCAGAAAUCUGUAGUCAGCUGUAUGGAGCCUCUUUCUUGACCAUUAGACUCAUAGAGAAGGCCCUCACACUUAGUGGCUGUUUGAUAAGUAAGCAGAAAUGAUGAGAUUCUUCAUUAACAUCAUUAACUAGUCAAUAUUUGGUUUUGUCCCAGAUGGCUGCAUUUUGUUUGAGUGUGUGAGGGUUCUAACAAAUGCAGUUACUCCACUGAAGUCCGUGAUUCUGGGAGCUAAAACUCCAAGGGUGUGUCACUUACCUCAGUACCCAGUCAGGCAGGGUCUCUCUUCUUACAGAUGGAUGCAGGGCACCAAGGGGACUAAACACAUAGAAUCGGAAGAAUGACCACUGUGAAGGACAGCAAGAAGGUCCCGUCUAAGAAGCAGAGCUGGUGUGCCGGGGGCUCAGCAACAAGCCAUGUCUGGACAAGAAGUUGACAACGAGAUUCAAGACAAAGAAGAGGAAGUCCCGGGAGGGAAAAUAUUCAGGGUGGAAAUUCCUCUGCUUUACUGUCGUGAAAAUGAAAAGUGAGCCGUGGACUGGGAGAAAAAUAUGUGCAAAACAUAUCCAGUAAAAGACUUCUAUCUGGAUAUAGAAAAAAUUCUUAUAAUUCGAUAAGAAGAAGACAAAUGACCAAUUGAAAAGGAAGAUAUACAGAUGGCAUUUAGGUACAUGAAAGGAUACUCACUAGUCAUCAGGGAAAGGAAAAUUUAAAACCACAAGGAGAUAUUACUACUACCCAGUAGCAUGGCUAAAAUUAAAAAGACUGACCUACAAAGUGUUGGCAAAAAUGUGGAGAAAUUGAAAUUGUCAUGCACUGCUGGUAGGAAUGUAAAAUGGUAAAAACACUUUGGAAAACAAGUCAGAAGUUUCAUACAUAGUUAAACAUACACCUUCCCAACCAUAUAACCUAGCCAUUCGACUCCUGGGUAGAGAGAUGUGAUCAUAUAACCACCCAAAGACUUGUAGACCAAUGUUCAGAGUUGCUUUCUUUGUAAUAUCCCAAACAGAAACACUUCAAAUGUCCAUCACUAGAUCAAUGGAUAAACAAUUGUAGUAUAUUCUUACUGUGGUAUACUAUGCAACAAAAAGAAGGAAUGGACCAUCAAUUCAUGUGACAACAUGGAUGAAUCUUGAAAUAAUCGUGCUGAGUGAAACAAACCAGACAAAAAAGAGUAAUAUUGUAUGAUUCACUUAUAUAAAAUUCUAGAAACUACAAACCUAUCUAGAGGGCUAUAAAGCAGAUCAGUGGUUGCCUGAAGGUGAGGAAGGGGUGAGAGGCGAGAAAGCAGAGGGUUACUGGGGGUAACAGGAAACUUUUGGGGGUGAUGAAAAUGUUCCUUAUCUUGGGUGUGCUGAUGGAUUCAUGAGAGUACACAUAUGCCAAAUUCAUCAAGUUAGACACUUUAUGCACGUACAGUUUGUUGUGCUUAUAUUGUAUAUUAAGAUAGCAUUCUAAAAAAGAAAUGACCAUAUCUCCAAAGUCUCCAUUAUUAAAUUACAACAAGAUCUAAAUUUCUACUUUAAUUCAAAAUUCCAGUGUGUACCCACAUGAAAUGUGAAAUCAUAAUUGAGACAUCAAAAAAUAGUGACAUUAACCUACUAUACCACAAAAACUGGAAGCAUACCUGAGUCCAUUUAUAUUUAAAGGAUGAGUUAGAUGAAAGGAGUAUUAUGAUGGAGCAGAAGACAAAAUCAUUAGUUGACAACAGUCCAGGAAAAUGUCCUAAAAUAUGAAUGCCUGAGUUAAAACUCCAGUCCCAACAAUUACUGUUCUGAAGGAUUGUAAUCAAUUAUUUCAACAUCUGUGAGCCUAAAGAAUUUUUAUAAAAUAUAUAAAAUAGUAAUACUAAAAAUGUCUACAACAUAGUAUGUAGUAAGGUCAAAUGGGAAAAAACAUGAAAUUUUUUAUAAAACUAUAAGGCAUGUAAGUAAGUAACCAUAUUCUGAGUAUAACAAUUACUGCGUGCCAGGCAGCAUCCUGAGAGCUUUUUCCUCAUGUACUCUUUCCAACAGCCUGUGAGGUAAGUCUUGUGAUUUCGCCCACACUGUGGAUGCGCAUAGCGGGGAUUAGUGACGUUAGGUAAUCUCCUCACGGGCAUAUAUCUGGCAUGUUGUGGGGCUGUGGUUUUCACCACAUUUCUCAGACUCCACAGCCCUUACUUGUGAGCAUUGCAUAAGAGUGCCUUCUCCUGUGAUGUAUGCAUGAGAGGAUGCAUAAGUAGAUGCAUCCACACCUUAGGAGGCCGGAUUCCCCACUGCAUUGGCUUUUCCAAGCUCUGUGGAAUGUGAUGCUGGCUAGAACUUAUUACAAAGUGCUCCCAUGUAGAGUAGAUCUGGUAUAAAGUGGGUCUUCAAAUCCCCUCCCUAGACAAACAGGUAGGUGGAGACCAUCUCCGCUAACAGAAUAGAGAAUAGUGCCAUUCUUGUGAAAAAGUAAUACUGUGUGCAUGUUUAUUCCUAAAUCCAUAGUAGCCAUUUUAACUAUCAAAAGGAGGGCGCCCAGAUGAAAGAGUGGCCUCCCAUGGAGCACAGCUGGAUGGAGGGGAAGAAACAGGAAGCGGGUUUACUUCUGGAACACCUGGCUUUGUUUAUCAGGUCCCUUAUGGAGGCAUUUCUGUUUCAUUCACCCAUUCAUUUUCCUACUCAUUCUCCUAUAUUCUGCUUUUUUGAAAACUUUUCCAACUCUCCUCUUCUGCUUCAUAUUCUUCUUACACUGACUGCUCAUUGAUGAUUUAAUUAAAUGUAUCUAGUAUCUUGAACUAGCCAAUAAAUAGUCAUAAAAAUAAAAUGGGGAAAUGAGAAUGAAUAGUAGCUUAAAAUGAUAUCCAGCCAACUUUCAAUUUCCCUAUUAUGCUGGCAAAAACAGAGACUAAUUACAAAAAAAGACUCGAAAUAAAUCAUUACAAAUAUUACUUUAACCCUCUCUCUUAACCACCUGUUUAACAAUUAAUAAUACAUAUUCUAUUAGACUGUCACUUACUGAGUUUCAAAAUGGGCAAACAAAUAAUAAGAGGUAAAGAGAAAAAUUAAGCAACAGGAGAAAUAAGACAAACUAUAUGCUGUACUAUAUUAUGUUAUAUACAUUACGUAAUUGUAUGUCAUGUUUAAUAUUUAAUUAUGUGCUAUAUAUUCCAGAGGGUUAUGAUUUAUGUGUUAUAUAUUAAUAUGUAACAUAUAUUACGCUAUAGAAUAAAUUGAAUUAUGAUUUGAAUGUGUGUGAUAUUUAUUUCUAUAAUUUAGUUUAAAGAGCAAAACUCCAUCGCAAAGACCCUUAGUGAAUUUCAUUGAUUUGUUAACAUCACGAAUCCAACUAAAUAUGCUCCGAAGUGCUUCUCUAUCGAUGUAACAGAAAAAAUUCCUAUUAUCAUAAAGGAAUUGUGCUGUGCAUAUAUUUCAGUCCAAAUCUUUACUUCACCUUGUGUAACAUUAUUUGAUGUUUCUCCCAAUUUUCCAGAGGAAAGAUUGUUUUUUCUUUCUGCUUUUUCUCCCCAAAUCCCCCCAGUACAUAGUUGUAUAUUUUAGUUGUGGGUCCUUCUAGUUGUGGCACGUGGGAUGCCGCCUCAGCGUGACCUGAUGAGUGGUGCCAUGUCCACACCCAGGAUCCGAACCAGUGACACCCUGGGCCGCCACAGCGGAGCGUGUGAACUCAACCACUUGGCCUCGGGGCCGGCCCAGAGGAAAGAUUUUAAACGCAAGACUUCGAUCUUAGGCUUUAGGAAAGCCUGCUGGCUCUCUCCCUACCAUGUAUCCCAUUGCACAUGUGCCCUGUAGAGUGUGGAACUGCCUUCUUUGGGAAAAGAGCAAGAAUGCCACCAAGGUACAUAAGGUGGAGAUAUUCAAGUUUAUCUCCAUAUAGUAAAGGAAGCUGAAAUCUGGGUUAAUUAUUAAAACAAGCUCACUUUUGGUUGCACUUGCUUGAGAAUUUCCGUUUCAAGCGUGCUGAGUGGCUUGAGUGAGAUUUAAGUUUCUGUGUAUUUUUAGAUAUGCAGCAUUAAGACCCUUUUGUGUGUUUGGGGAAUUCCCCGGUUAGGUGUUGGUGGGAAGCGGGCCCAGCUCCCACUACUGAAACUGGAAGGGACAAGUUUUCUGCUUCCCACCUCCUAGCCAGGAUACAAGCAUGUGGCCUGGGCUCAGCCAAUGGGGUUUUUAAACUGAAGUCAGUGAUCAGAGCGGAGCCCAGAACCACCAACUCACGCAGGCGCAGGGCCGAC
Equus caballus (horse) is the source of this 6676-nucleotide long non-coding RNA. NCBI's taxonomy places the organism in Eukaryota, Metazoa, Chordata, Mammalia, Perissodactyla, Equidae. The record is from Ensembl.